RNAcentral lists this ribosomal RNA (258 nucleotides) under uncultured bacterium. RNAcentral describes it as "partial 16S ribosomal RNA". It matches the Rfam family "Bacterial small subunit ribosomal RNA", at positions 524 to 779 of the family's 1533-position model. The record is from RNAcentral.
UACGUAGGGCGCAAGCGUUAUCCGGAAUUAUUGGGCGUAAAGAGCUCGUAGGCGGUUUGUCGCGUCUGCCGUGAAAGUCCGGGGCUCAACUCCGGAUCUGCGGUGGGUACGGGCAGACUAGAGUGAUGUAGGGGAGACUGGAAUUCCUGGUGUAGCGGUGAAAUGCGCAGAUAUCAGGAGGAGCACCGAUGGCGAAGGCAGGUCUCUGGGGCCACUACUGACGCUGAGGAGCGAAAGCGUGGGGAGCGAAACAGGAUU